AGUUGGCUGGGCCAUUUGGAGGCCCCGGCGUAUCAGCUGCUGGACGAUGUGAUGGCGGCGCAGGGGUACGAACCCUCGCCAUUCAC
This 86-nucleotide transfer RNA is filed under the name Phaeobacter italicus. RNAcentral's name for it is "tRNA-Sec". Lineage: Bacteria; Pseudomonadati; Pseudomonadota; Alphaproteobacteria; Rhodobacterales; Roseobacteraceae. The record is from RNAcentral.